AGACGCCUCACAAGUCCUCAACUGGCAGCUUCAUUAAAUAGUACCCACAAAACACCAGUCUCAUCGUCAACAGUGAAGCGAAGUUCCUCUCUCCAGUGUCUGUGUUCUUUUGCCCAUCUUAAUCUUUUAGGCCAGUCUGAGAUAUGGCUUUUUCUUUGCAACUCUGCCUAGAAGGCCAGCAACCCGGAGUUGCCUCUUCACUCUGCCAGUUGAGGACUUGUGAGGCGUCGGUUUCUCAAACUAGACACUCUAAUGUACUUGUCCUCUUGCUUAGUUGUGCACUGGGGCCUCCCACUCUGUCUAUUCUGUUAGAGACAGUGUGCGCUGUUCUGUGAAGGGAGUAAUACACAGCGUUUCUUUCUUGGAAAUUUCUCAGAACAAGAAUAGACUGACGAGUUUCAGAAGAAAGUACUUUGUUUCUGGACAUUCUGAACCUGUAAUCGAACCCACAAAUCUUGAUGCUCCAGAUACUCAACUAGUCUGAAGAAGGCCAGUUUUAUUGCUUCUUUAAUCAGAACAACAGUUUUCAGCUGUGCUAACAUAAUUGCAAAAGGGUUUCCUAAUGAUCAAUUAGCCUUUUAAAUGAUAUAAUUGGAUUAACUAACACAACAUGCCAUUGGAACACAGGAGUGAUGGUUGCAGAGAAGCAGUGCCUUAGACCGCUGCGCCUCUUGGUAGCUAUCUUAUGUGCCUUUUACUGAGGACUGGCUUCCAUCUGGCAACUCUACCAUAAAGGCCUGAUUGGUGGAAUGCUGCCGAGAUCGUUGUCCUUCUGAAAAGUGCUCCCAUCUCCAUAGAGGAAUUCUAGAACUCUGUCAGAGUGACCAUUGGGUUCUUGGUCACCUCCCUGGUCAAGGCCCUUUUCCCCCGAUUGCUCAGUUUGGCCGGGCGGCCAGCUCUAGGAAGAAUCUUGGUGGUUCCAGACUACUUCCAUUUAAGAAUGAUGGAGGCCACUGUGUUCUUGGGGACCUUCAAUGCUGCAGACGUUUUUUGGUAUCCUUCCCCAGAUCUGUGCCUCGACACAAUCCUGUCUCGGAGCGUUAUAGACAAUUCCUUCGACCUUAUGGCUUGGGUUUUGCUCUGACAUGCACUGUCAACUGUGGGACCUCACAGAGACAGGUGUGUGCCUUUCCAAAUCAUGUCCAGUCAAUUGAAUUUGACUCAAAUCAAGUUGUAGAAACAUCUCAAGGAUGAUCAAUGGAAACCAGAUGCACCUGAGCUCAAUUUUGAGUCUCAUAGCAAAGGGUCUGAAUACUAAUGUAAAUUGGAUUAUACCAAAGAUGAAUAAGAAUUGCCUUAAGAGUAGUGCUGUAGAACUUCUCAUCGAUUGUUUACUACUCCCAUUAAAAAACAUAUAGUUAUCAGGAAUUGCUAUUGGUCCAGAUGUUGUUAGAUACUUUCACCCAUUCUAUUUUCUUACUUUAUAGAGUCGUUCCACAUUAAUUAAAUGAAAAAGGGGCUAUGUUUGAGCGUGACCCUUUUGAUUAGAACAAAACUUGCAUGCAUAUUUACUAGGGGUGAAACGGUUCACAAAACUCAUGGUUCGGUACGUUGACAAAAUUAAUGCCUGAGAAAUAUGUAAUCUGUAUUUAGAUUUUCCAUUUAUUAUAAUAGUAAACAUGGGUAGCUUGAAUUCCCAGGAGCAUAUGGAAACAAAGGGACAAUAAAAAACAGCAGUGCCUGCCUUUAUAACGUGAAAUAAAAUAGUAAUUUAAAACAGAACUUCAACAUAGUCCAGCAGCUUAUAUCAAAAUUAAGUCACAUUGCAGUGCCUUAAACAAAAUAGGACCACUUGAGACUGGUUACAGGAAAAAAAUAAAAAUUUUUUUAUCAGAUUUUCAAGUUUUUCUUUAAGAAGAUUAGUUUAUCCACGUUUAGGCCCCUUGCUUUUUUCAAUUUUUACUAACGACAUGCUACUGACUGAGUAAAGCCAGAGUGUCUAUGUUUGUGGAUGACUCAACACUAUAAACGUCAGCUACUACAGCAACUGAAAUGACUGCAACACUCAACAAAGAGCUGCAGUUAGUUUCAGAGUUGGUUGCAAGGAAUAAAUUGGCCCUAAAUAUUUCUAAAACUAAAAGCAUUGUAUUUGGAACAAAACACUCUCUAAACCCUAAAUCUUGUAAUAAAUAAUGUGGAAAUUGAGCAAGUUGAGAUGACUAAACUGCUUGGAGUAACACUAGAUUAUAAACUGUCAUGGUCAAAACAUAUUGAUGCCGUAGUAGCUAAGAUGGGGAGAAGUCUGUAUAUAAUAAAGCGAUGCUCUACCUUCUUAACAACACUAUCAUCAAGGCAGGUCCUACAGGCCCUAGUUUUGUUGCACCUUGACUACUGUUCAGUUGUGUGGUGAGGUGCCACAAAAAAGGACCGAGGAAAAUUGCAAUUAGCUCAGAACAGGGCAGCACGGCUGGCCCUUAGAUGUACACAGAGAGCUAACAUUAAUAAUUUGCAUGUCAAUCUCUCCGGGCUGAAAGUGGAGGAGAGAUUGACUUCAUCACUACUUUUAUUUAUGAGAGGUAUUUGACAUGUUGAAUGCACCGAGCUGUCUGUCUAAACUACUGGCACACAGCUCAGACACCCAUGCAUACUCCACAAGACAAGUCACAAGAGGUCUCUUCACAGUCCCCAAGUCCAGAACAGACUAUGGGAGGCACACAGUACUACAUGGAACCAUGACUACAUGGAACUCUAUUCCACAUCAAGUAACUGAUGCCAGCAGUAAAAUUAGAUUUAAAAAACAGAUAAUAAAACACCUUAUGGAACAGCGGGGACUGUGAAGCAACACAAACAUUGGCACAGACAGACGCGAUAACAUAUAUACAUAUAUAACUUAUGUACAUAUACAUGGAUUUAGUACUGUAGAUAUGUGGUGGAGUAAGGGCUUGAGGGCUCACAGUGUGUUGUGAAAUCUGUGAAUGUAUUGUAAUGUUUUUAAAAUUGUAUAAACUGCCUUAAUUUCGCUGGACCCCAGGAAGAGUGGCAGCUGCUUUGGCAGCUGAUGGGGAUCCAUUACGAAUAAAAAUCUGCAAUGAGCACAGAUUGGCUUGCUGUGACAAUGUCAGCCGCUGUGGAGAAUACUUUUGCUAGGGACAGAGGUCCCAGGCACAGCCAGGUAGCGCCUUGCUAACAUGGCAACAUGAGGGUAUAUUAACUCUUUGGUCUUCCACCAUGUAAGUGGAUCAGCAUCCAGGGGAAUACAGUCCAGUUCCCUGUAUGAGGACACCUCUAUGACCUUGACGUUUGACUUGGUUCCCUGCUCCUGGGUCGUGAACAACUUCCCCCGAAAGCUCAGCCAUGGCAGACUUAUUUUCUGGAAGAGAACCCCUGUCGUCUGCCGUCUCUGGAGAGGGGUUGGCUCCUGUGGUAUAUGGCUUGACCCUGCAAAAUUCUAUUUGAUGAAAAUUACUUUCUUUAGUGGCUUUAAAAAUAUGAUUUGUUGUUAGAAAUAUCUAUCAGACACUAUUAUGACAAUUACAAUUGUUACUUUAUAAUGAAUUGUUAAAUCACUAAUGAAUAAAAUAAAUGUCACAUUAACUAAAUAAAUACAACACCUGUUGUAUAUUGGUAACAAUCUCUGCUGUGAGUUCAUUGUAGACUCUCAGACGAGCAGCAGCAUCCAGGUGCAGCAGGGUCUUGAACCGGGUCGUCCAAAGCGGUGCUCUUGUGUAAGAAGUAUUGGACACCAGGGUCAGCAUAUCUAGGCUCCAGGUUAACUCUGAUAGCAGUCUUGACAUCCCUUACUGCGGGUUCAUCUUCA
Molecule: long non-coding RNA, 3757 nt
Filed under: Salmo salar (Atlantic salmon)
Lineage: Eukaryota; Metazoa; Chordata; Actinopteri; Salmoniformes; Salmonidae
Description: lncRNA (ENSSSAG00000083938.1)
Source: RNAcentral